RNAcentral lists this ribosomal RNA (433 nucleotides) under uncultured bacterium. Its description in RNAcentral is "partial 16S ribosomal RNA". It matches the Rfam family "Bacterial small subunit ribosomal RNA", at positions 29 to 507 of the family's 1533-position model. The record is from RNAcentral.
AACGAACGCUGGCGGCAUGCCUAACACAUGCAAGUCGAACGAGACCUUCGGGUCUAGUGGCGCACGGGUGCGUAACGCGUGGGAACCUGCCCUUAGGUUCGGAAUAACUCCCCGAAAGGGGUGCUAAUACCGGAUAAUGUCUUCGGACCAAAGAUUUAUUGCCUUUGGAUGGGCCCGCGUUGGAUUAGCUAGUUGGUAGGGUAAAAGCCUAACAAGGCGACGAUCCAUAGCUGGUCUGAGAGGAUGAUCACCCACACUGGGACUGAGACACGGCCCAGACUCCUACGGGAGGCAGCAGUGGGGAAUAUUGGAAAAUGGGCGAAAGCCUGAUCCAGCAAUGCCGCGUGAGUGAUGAAGGCCUUAGGGUUGUAAAGCUCUUUUACCCGGGAUGAUAAUGACAGUACCGGGAGAAUAAGCUCCGGCUAACUCCGUG